GCCAUGGCUCAAUCGGCACAGCAUGAGACUUUUAAUCUCAGUGUCAUGAGUUUGAGCCCCAUGCCUCAACU
Podarcis lilfordi (Lilford's wall lizard) is the source of this 71-nucleotide non-coding RNA. Lineage: Eukaryota; Metazoa; Chordata; Lepidosauria; Squamata; Lacertidae. The record is from the annotation of a GenBank genome assembly.